Molecule: ribosomal RNA, 253 nt
Filed under: uncultured bacterium
Lineage: Bacteria
Description: partial 16S ribosomal RNA
Rfam family: Bacterial small subunit ribosomal RNA
Source: RNAcentral
UACAGAGGGGGCUAGCGUUGUUCGGAAUUACUGGGCGUAAAGGGCGCGUAGGCGGCCUGUUAAGUCGAACGUGAAAUCCCCGGGCUCAACCCGGGAACUGCGUCCGAGACUGGCAGGCUCGAAUCCGGGAGAGGGAUGUGGAAUUCCAGGUGUAGCGGUGAAAUGCGUAGAUAUCUGGAGGAACACCGGUGGCGAAGGCGGCAUCCUGGACCGGUAUUGACGCUGAGGCGCGAAAGCCAGGGGAGCAAACGGG